Cyprinus carpio carpio is the source of this 3699-nucleotide long non-coding RNA. The record is from Ensembl. NCBI's taxonomy places the organism in Eukaryota, Metazoa, Chordata, Actinopteri, Cypriniformes, Cyprinidae.
GUGUUAUGGAAAUUUUUAAUAUUGUUAAUCUUGCAUUGAUUGCAUUAAUCUCAUUUAAGUAUCUUCUUAAACAUACAAUGAUCAAAGUAGUAUAUAGUCCAUAGGGACAUUGAGUUAUUUUAUGUAACUUGUGCACAUAACUGCUUUAGGUUGAAAUACAACAUUUAAGGGGAAACUGUUUACCAGGGACUGGCAGUUUUGAGAGAAACCAGACAUCUACCAUGUAAUGUGCAUGAGAAGUGCAUGUGUCAUGGGGUGAUGUGCACUGAGCAACAUGAUUGGCUCAAAGGUCCUAAUCUGUCCUUCAAUGUAUCUUUUUACAUACUAUAAAAAGUGUGUUGUGAGUCUGUGUGUUAUCUCUUUGCACACAGACUCAAGCUGUGUGUAAACCAGAUCAUUCUCUGCAGAGAAUUAAAGCAAUACAAAGACAAAACUCUGUUUGGUGUUUCAUUCUCAGUCUCUACAAAUUGUUAUUGAAUUAGAAUUUCCACAACAAACUUGGCGACGAGUGACGGGAUUCCACAGCUGAUCGUCCGGGACCUGAGGACGUUAGUUGGCUGAUCACCCUAGACCCACAAAGGGUUUAGCCCUAAACCCCAAAAGGUUUCAGGGAAGGGGGGACUGACGUCUGAGGGCUUGUGGACCUUCACUGCUGGUUUUCUCAAUGGAUCAGAAAAACGCGUGCUACAAACAAAGCUGGAGAAGGAGGGGGGAGUCGGGAGCAAAGUCCACCAAGGCCACGCAACACAAACAGAUAAGUCUGAAACACACACACAUUUUCUCUAAAGCUCACUGCAACGAAGAAAGUAUGCUUGCUAAUGUUUAUGCUCACUGCAACGAAGAAAAUAUGCUUGCUCAUAUUUCCGCUCUUAGCAAUGAAGAAAAAUGCUUGCUCUGAUACAUGAUCACAUUGGAAGAUUAGAAAAUUACAAAUCUUCUCUCGACAAGAACAUAGGCACAUACAUAUAGUCAUCCAAAUAAAUUAGCUUAUAAACAAAUGCCACAGAUUAAAUGAUGGGUUAAUGGAGUUGAAAGGGCUGGCAACUCAGUAAUUAGAAUGGAUGAAAUAGAUCCAAUUCCAAAAUUAAGUGGAAUUUUAGUUUGGUCUAUCUGGUUAAACUGUCAGAGAAAAUUUCACUGUACCAUUGAGAUGUGAGGAUGAAAAUGGCAUGAACUUUAAGCAUUGUUUUCUACUGUCAGAAAACUGCCUUCAAAAUUUGUUAGAAAGAGAUUUCACUGGGAAGUGGCCCAGUGCCAAAUUCAAACUUUAGCCACAAUCCAACAAUCGCAGUUGUAUAUUUACCAGUGGAAACUGAAAGAUGAUGAAUUAUGUGAAAAGCUUGUCAAUGCUGCAAAAGACAGUUUCACCUAAUUCUGAAUUAUGCCAUUCUCUGAUUUACAUUGCUCAGCACAUACAUUGUUUGGAAGAGAUUAAAUGUUUUUGAUGAAAUGGUUUUCAUGUAUAAACAUGAUAGACCUUAAAUGUUUAAUCUGGACAGAAAACAGAUGCGCUGUUGCUGUUGAUUUGAGAAAUGAACAGCAAAUGUUUUUGAUGUUGUUGAUUCUCUUCCACGUGUUGCGUUAUCCAGAAAGAAUAACGAACAUUGGGAAGACAUUGGUUUAUUUGUAAAAAUUUGUAUUUUUCAUGUGAAUUUGGUGGAGACAGCAGAGGACAAUGUCGAAUACAAUCCAACACUGUCUGCAUACCGAAUGUGUUUGCACGGGCCUGCUGUUAAAGCUGUACGCACAGUCUGUGUGAUUGAUGACACAGAGACCGGUCACUGCUUUCUCUCAGCGUAAGAAGCAGAGUCUCACCCAGCACUGAGAGAAGUCCCUAAGACACUCUGGGCUUUAUCUAAAUUUGAUGUUGGGCUGAUUAAAAAUUUUGAAUCAGUUCAAGUCACUCCAAAGUCUGAUUACAGACCCUGUAAACCUCAAUAUCCUCUAAAAAGAGAGGCUAUUGAAGGUAUAACACCAGUUUUUGAAUAAUUAAGAGCCGCUGGGGUAAUUGGGCACUGUGAAAAUUCUCCUGUGCAUACACCUAUUUUCCCUGUUAUAAAGAUAAAGAAACAUACGAACAAGACACUGUAAAACUUAUAAAACAUUUGGCUACUGAGGGUCGCAAAGCAAGUUUGUCAAAACUGCAGUUUGUAAAAAGGGAGGUGAUAUUUUUAGGUCAUCUCAUCACUAAAAAUGGCAAAUUUAAUCUGAGAAACUAAAAGAGACAAUUCAAAAGAUUCUAAAGCUUAUUAUGAAAAAGCAACUAAUGUCAUUUUUGGGCAUGUGUUCGUUUUGUCGAACGUUCAUUCCAAAUUAUGUUAAUAAAGAAUCGCCCCUGAGUGCUUUGGCUCACGGGAAGGGCUUGCAACCCCAUGACAAACUGACCUGGAUCCCAGAAGCAGAGAAAGCAUUUAAGAAUAUAUUACUGAUAAAAACAUCACCAACACUGGGACUCCCAGACCCAGAGAGAAAUUUUGUACAAACUGUUGAUGAGAGAAUGGGUUCAUGACUUCUGUUCUGUUACAGGAUCAUGGGGGAGACCUGUGGCCUAUUUUUCGAGUAAGCUCGAUCCGGUAGCAGCAGGCAUGACAAAAUGCCUGAGAGCUGUUGCAUCUGCAGAAAAAGCUAUUUUAUCUUCAAGGGAAAUUUUGGGGUACUCUGAUGUGACUUUGCUCGUGCCACGCUCGAUCUCUGUGAUCCUGUUGGAACAGAAAACAUCCCAUUUGUCAACCGACAGAUGGCUCAGGUACAAUGCAAUUCUAUUUGAAAUGCCAAACAUCACGAUUAAAAGAUGCACAGUGUUAAAUCCUGCUACACUGCUCCCUACGAAGCAGGAUGGGGAAACAACACAACUGUGUUGCCACAUUUGAACAGGUCUGUACACCAAGAUCAGAUUUAAAAGAAACCCCCUUAGAAAAUGCUGACUUAAUUCUAAUCAUUGAUGGUUAAGCAUCUAGAGACCCAAAUAUUGGCAAAAACAGAACAAAUUAAGCUGUAACAACUGCAUAUGCAACAAUAACAUCUGGAGCGCUCCCCGCGCAUUGCUCUGCGCAAGCGGCUGAAUUGGUAGCAUUGACAGAGGCUUGCAAAAUUGCUAAAGGGCAAACAGUUACCAUCUACACAGAUUCUCGUUAUUCUUUUGGGGUUUGUCAUGAUUUAGUGGCAUUGUGGAAACACAGGAAAUUUCUAAAGUCCGAUGGCAAGACUGUUCUAAACCAUGAUAAAAUAGCAGCAUUGUUUGAAGCAAUUUUGUUACCAAAGUCAAUUGCUAUUUGCAAAAUGCGUCACACAUUCCAAAAACUGUGAUGAUUUUGUGUUUUUAGGUAACAAUCAUGCUGAUACUGCAGCAAAGGACGCAGCUAUGAGAACAGAGCCUUCUUUUACCUGUGUAACACUUAACAAUGACUUAUUCACACUCACUUCUGAUUCUCUUACAGCAUGCAAGCUUUUGCCACAGCAGAGGAGAAGAAACAAUGGGUGAAGGCCAAGUGCAAACUGAUAAACAACCUUUGGCUGAGUACUGAAGGCAGACCAUGUCUACCAAAACACUUUUUCCCACACUAUGCAAAACUUAUACAUGGCCUAGAUCACAUGAGUUAAGGGGGAAUGUUUGAUUUGCUAAAUCAAUAUUGGUUCAAAAGGGGAUUCACUUUCUUUGCGGAAAGGUAUUGUCAAUCAUGUAUGAUCUGUGCCACAAGC